Molecule: ribosomal RNA, 445 nt
Filed under: uncultured bacterium
Lineage: Bacteria
Description: partial 16S ribosomal RNA
Rfam family: Bacterial small subunit ribosomal RNA
Source: RNAcentral
GUGAGGAAUAUUGCGCAAUGGAGGCAACUCUGACGCAGCCAUGCCGCGUGCAGGAAGAAGGCGCUACGCGUUGUAAACUGCUUUUAACCGGGAAGAAACCCCAGGACGUGUCCUGGGUUGACGGUACCGGAGGAAUAAGCACCGGCUAACUUCGUGCCAGCAGCCGCGGUAAUACGAAGGGUGCAAGCGUUAUCCGGAUUCAUUGGGUUUAAAGGGUGCGUAGGCGGAGCGUUAAGUCAGUGGUGAAAUCCUGCAGCUUAACUGUAGACUUGCCAUUGAUACUGGCGCUCUUGAGUGCGCUUGAAGUGGGCGGAAUGUGCCGUGUAGCGGUGAAAUGCUUAGAUAUGGCACAGAACACCAAUUGUGAAGGCAGCUCACUAAGGCGAUACUGACGCUGAGGCACGAAAGCGUGGGGAUCGAACAGGAUUAGAUACCCGAGUAGUCC